CGGACGGGUGAGUAAUGUCUGGGAAACUGCCCGAUGGAGGGGGAUAACUACUGGAAACGGUAGCUAAUACCGCAUAAUGUCUGCGGACCAAAGCGGGGGACCUCCGGGCCUCGCGCCAUCAGAUGAACCCAUAUGGGAUUAGCUAGUAGGUAAGGUAACGGCUUACCUAGGCGACGAUCCCUAGCUGGUCUGAGAGGAUGAUCAACCACACUGGGACUGAGACACGGCCCAG
This 232-nucleotide ribosomal RNA is filed under the name uncultured bacterium. RNAcentral describes it as "partial 16S ribosomal RNA". It matches the Rfam family "Bacterial small subunit ribosomal RNA", at positions 99 to 334 of the family's 1533-position model. The record is from RNAcentral.